RNAcentral lists this ribosomal RNA (253 nucleotides) under uncultured bacterium. Its description in RNAcentral is "partial 16S ribosomal RNA". It matches the Rfam family "Bacterial small subunit ribosomal RNA", at positions 524 to 776 of the family's 1533-position model. The record is from RNAcentral.
UACGUAGGGUGCAAGCGUUGUCCGGAAUUAUUGGGCGUAAAGAGCUCGUAGGCGGUUUGUCGCGUCUGCUGUGAAAACUCGGGGCUUAACUCCGGGCCUGCAGUGGGUACGGGCAGACUAGAGUGCGGUAGGGGAGACUGGAAUUCCUGGUGUAGCGGUGAAAUGCGUAGAUAUCGAGAGGAACACCUGCGGCGAAGGCGGGUUGCCGGGCUGACACUGACGCUGAUGCGCGAAAGCCAGGGGAGCGAACGGG